Molecule: ribosomal RNA, 397 nt
Filed under: uncultured bacterium
Lineage: Bacteria
Description: bacterial SSU rRNA
Rfam family: Bacterial small subunit ribosomal RNA
Source: RNAcentral
GACGAACGCUGGCGGCGUGCUUAACACAUGCAAGUCGAGCGGUAAGGCCCUUUCGGGGGUACACGAGCGGCGAACGGGUGAGUAACACGUGGGUGACCUGCCCUCAGCUCUGGGAUAAGCCCGGGAAACUGGGUCUAAUACUGGAUAUGACUCCACGGUGCAUGCCGUGGGGUGGAAAGCCUUGUGCGGCUGAGGAUGGGCCCGCGGCCUAUCAGCUUGUUGGUGGGGUGAUGGCCUACCAAGGCGACGACGGGUAGCCGGCCUGAGAGGGCGACCGGCCACACUGGGACUGAGACACGGCCCAGACUCCUACGGGAGGCAGCAGUGGGGAAUCUUGCGCAAUGGGCGAAAGCCUGACGCAGCGACGCCGCGUGAGGGAUGACGGCCUGGUGUAACU